AAGCAUAUCACUAAGCGGAGGAAAAGAAACUAACCAGGAUUCCCUUAGUAACGGCGAGUGAACAGGGAAGAGCCCAGCACCGAAGCCUUUGGUCGUUUGAUCACUAGGCAAUGUGGUGUUUAGGUUGGUACUGCGAAGUCAUUACACCGCUCAAAGUCCUGUUAUGAAUACGGUUUUAUGGACUUAGCCCACAGAGGGUGAAAGGCCCGUGUGAGCUCGUAAGUGACUUCCUGAACUGACCUUGGAGUCGGGUUGUUUGAGAAUGCAGCCCAAAGAGGGUGGUAAACUCCAUCCAAGGCUCAAUACUGGCACGAGUCCGAUAGCAAACAAGUACCGUGAGGGAAAGUUGAAAAGUACUCUGAAGAGAGAGUAAACAGUACGUGAAGCCGCUCGGAGGUUAAACGGGUAGAGUUGAACUGCAAGCCCUGGAGAUUCAGCUGGCGAAUGUGACAUGAGCUUGGUUAUUACGACCGGCUGUGAAGGUCUGCUUAACUGCGGGUUACUGCCUUUGGGUGGUGAUAUGCGAUACACUUUCCAUGUGUUGCGUGCCUUUGCUGACCGGGUCAGUUCGUCAGUGCAUUUCUUCAGGGUCUUCACCACGACCGACGCAGCUGUCGGCCUACUAUGCAAAUGGCAGGUAGCUCAUUGGUCUCGGCCUACGAGUGUAAUAGCCAUGUGUGGUAGUGCUGUGCAGUGUGUUGGAGACGGCGGCAUGUAACAGAGCCCAUAGUCUGUGGUGUAGUGGUAAGCUCUCUACCCGACCCGUCUUGAAACACGGACCAAGGAGUUUAACAUGUGCGCGAGUCAUUGGGUACACGAAACCUACAGGCGCAGUGAAAGUGAAUGUCUGGCUUCGGCUGGACUGAGGUGAGAUCUGGCCGUUUCUCAUGCGUGGUACUACCAAGUAUUCGAUCGGUCGGCGCAUCACCGGCCCGUCCCAUGGUGUGGUCAUGGUCCUUCGGGGCUGUGCGUCACCGGGGCGGAGCAUGAGCGCACAUGUCGAGACCCGAAAGA
RNAcentral lists this ribosomal RNA (1014 nucleotides) under Nematobothriinae sp. 2 CL-2021. RNAcentral's name for it is "partial large subunit ribosomal RNA". It matches the Rfam family "Eukaryotic large subunit ribosomal RNA", at positions 36 to 823 of the family's 3401-position model. Lineage: Eukaryota; Metazoa; Platyhelminthes; Trematoda; Azygiida; Didymozoidae. The record is from RNAcentral.